This 301-nucleotide ribosomal RNA is filed under the name uncultured bacterium. Its description in RNAcentral is "partial 16S ribosomal RNA". It matches the Rfam family "Bacterial small subunit ribosomal RNA", at positions 509 to 809 of the family's 1533-position model. The record is from RNAcentral.
CAGCAGCCGCGGUAAUACGGAGGGUGCUAGCGUUGUUCGGAAUCACUGGGCGUAAAGGGCGCGUAGGCGGCCUGUUAAGUCGGAUGUGAAAGCCCGGGGCUCAACCCCGGAACUGCAUCCGAGACUGGCAGGCUUGAGACCGGGAGAGGAGGGUGGAAUAUCCAGUGUAGAGGUGAAAUUCGUAGAUAUUGGAUGGAACACCGGUGGCGAAAGCGGCUCUCUGGCCCGGAUCUGACGCUGAGGCGCGAAAGCGUGGGGAGCAAACAGGAUUAGAUACCCCAGUAGUCCCUGUCUCUUAUAU